UUGUAGUGUAGAGGUGAUAGACAGGGAGGUGGUAAACUAAACAUUAAGGGUUGAGUGUGUGAGUCUACAGCCUCUAGUGGGAUUCUACUGUAGUCUGUUAUCAGUCCAUGAUAACUUGUAGUGUAGAGGUGAUAGACAGGGAGGUGGUAAACUAAACAUUAAGGGUUGAGUGUGUGAGUCUACAGCCUCUAGUGGGAUUCUACUGUAGUCUGUUAUCAGUCCAUGAUAACUUGUAGUGUAGAGGUGAUAGACAGGGAGGUGGUAAACUAAACAUUAAGGGUUGAGUGUGUGAGUCUACAGCCUCUAGUGGGAUUCUACUGUAGUCUGUUAUCAGUCCAUGAUAACUUGUAGUGUAGAGGUGAUAGACAGGGAGGUGGUAAACUAAACAUUAAGGGUUGAGUGUGUGAGUCUACAGCCUCUAGUGGGAUUCUACUGUAGUCUGUUAUCAGUCCAUGAUAACUUGUAGUGUAGAGGUGAUAGACAGGGAGGUGGUAAACUAAACAUUAAGGGUUGAGUGUGUGAGUCUACAGCCUCUAGUGGGAUUCUACUGUAGUCUGUUAUCAGUCCAUGAUAACUUGUAGUGUAGAGGUGAUAGACAGGGAGGUGGUAAACUAAACAUUAAGGGUUGAGUGUGUGAGUUUACAGCCUCUAGUGGGAUUCUACUGUAGUCUGUUAUCAGUCCAUGAUAACUUGUAGUGUAGAGGUGAUAGACAGGGAGGUGGUAAACUAAACAUUAAGGGUUGAGUGUGUGAGUCUACAGCCUCUAGUGGGAUUCUACUGUAGUCUGUUAUCAGUCCAUGAUAACUUGUAGUGUAGAGGUGAUAGACAGGGAGGUGGUAAACUAAACAUUAAGGGUUGAGUGUGUGAGUCUACAGCCUCUAGUGGGAUUCUACUGUAGUCUGUUAUCAGUCCAUGAUAACUUGUAGUGUAGAGGUGAUAGACAGGGAGGUGGUAAACUAAACAUUAAGGGUUGAGUGUGUGAGUCUACAGCCUCUAGUGGGAUUCUACUGUAGUCUGUUAUCAGUCCAUGAUAACUUGUAGUGUAGAGGUGAUAGACAGGGAGGUGGUAAACUAAACAUUAAGGGUUGAGUGUGUGAGUCUACAGCCUCUAGUGGGAUUCUACUGUAGUCUGUUAUCAGUCCAUGAUAACUUGUAGUGUAGAGGUGAUAGACAGGGAGGUGG
This is a long non-coding RNA of Oncorhynchus tshawytscha (Chinook salmon), 1182 nucleotides long. RefSeq lists it as uncharacterized. The record is from RefSeq and is a predicted model, not a curated record. Lineage: Eukaryota; Metazoa; Chordata; Actinopteri; Salmoniformes; Salmonidae. The transcript has 4 exons.